Molecule: long non-coding RNA, 300 nt
Organism: Paramacrobiotus metropolitanus
Lineage: Eukaryota; Metazoa; Tardigrada; Eutardigrada; Parachela; Macrobiotidae
Exons: 3
Source: RefSeq, a predicted model, not a curated record
AGGGGAGGGCCUACAGUUGCGGCCUGUGGGUGUACCGGCGGCCCCUUGGGAUAUUCGGACCUGCACCGACACACAUACGGAUAUUGCUCAAAAAGAUCACCCGCGCUAUCUGCGUGGACCGUCACUGACGGGUUUCUGUGCUGGUGGACCUACACAGGCGCCGUUUUGUCUUGCGGACACGGGAGCACCAUUGUAACUUAUUUAACGUGCCGGGAUAACGCCACGCCUGCCAGCGCAUUUAGCUAGUCUAUCUGUACAAGUCGAUUCGGCAUGCUACGGUAAGCUCGUAUUGAAGUCAAC